This 350-nucleotide unclassified non-coding RNA is filed under the name soil metagenome. RNAcentral describes it as "partial contains 5.8S ribosomal RNA, internal transcribed spacer 2, and large subunit ribosomal RNA". The stretch from base 1 to 120 matches the Rfam family "5.8S ribosomal RNA", at positions 35 to 154 of the family's 154-position model. The record is from RNAcentral.
GAUGAAGAACGCAGCGAAAUGCGAUAAGUAAUGUGAAUUGCAGAAUUCAGUGAAUCAUCGAAUCUUUGAACGCACAUUGCGCCCGCCAGUAUUCUGGCGGGCAUGCCUGUCCGAGCGUCAUUUCAACCCUCGAACCCCUCCGGGGGGUCGGCGUUGGGGAUCGGCCCUUUACGGGGCCGGCCCCGAAAUACAGUGGCGGUCUCGCCGCAGCCUCUCCUGCGCAGUAGUUUCCACACUCGCAUCGGGAGCGCGGCGCGUCCACAGCCGUUAAACACCCCAAACUUCUGAAAUGUUGACCUCGGAUCAGGUAGGAAUACCCGCUGAACUUAAGCAUAUCAAUAAGCGGAGGA